GAUGAACGCUGACCGAAUGCUUAACACAUGCAAGUCAACUUGAACUUCGGUUUGGGUGGCGGACGGGUGAGUAACGCGUAAAGAACUUGCCUCACAGCUAGGGACAACAUUUGGAAACGAAUGCUAAUACCUGAUAUUAUGAUUAUAUGGCAUCGUAUAAUUAUGAAAGCUAUAUGCGCUGUGAGAGAGCUUUGCGUCCCAUUAGCUAGUUGGAGAGGUAACAGCUCACCAAGGCGAUGAUGGGUAGCCGGCCUGAGAGGGUGAUCGGCCACAAGGGGACUGAGACACGGCCCUUACUCCUACGGGAGGCAGCAGUGGGGAAUAUUGGACAAUGGGCCGAGAGUCUGAUCCAGCAAUUCUGUGUGCACGAUGAAGUUUUUCGGAAUGUAAAGUGCUUUCAGUUGGGAAGAAAAAAAUGACGGUACCAACAGAAGAAGUGACGGCUAAAUACGUG
This 454-nucleotide ribosomal RNA is filed under the name uncultured bacterium. Its description in RNAcentral is "partial 16S ribosomal RNA". It matches the Rfam family "Bacterial small subunit ribosomal RNA", at positions 28 to 507 of the family's 1533-position model. The record is from RNAcentral.